UCAUAGCAUAAUUUCGCACUUCUUUCGGAAACCAAACAUUAUGCAAAUUUGUGACAGAAACUGAAUCUGCAAAAUCCAGUGGGCUACUCCUCUCGGUCCUACAAUUUCACAACCAAUAUCGGGUUAACGAGGGAAUUGUUCCGUGAGACUCUAAUCCGGAAAGAGGAAAUACUCAAGUGCGACACCUUUAAGCGAACGAGGUUGAGCUGUGACGAGCACGGUGGGUGUUGAGCAGAGCUGGUAAAGAUUUGUGUUUGCUUU
Salvia splendens (bonfire salvia) is the source of this 261-nucleotide long non-coding RNA. RefSeq lists it as uncharacterized. The record is from RefSeq and is a predicted model, not a curated record. Lineage: Eukaryota; Viridiplantae; Streptophyta; Magnoliopsida; Lamiales; Lamiaceae. The transcript is spliced from 3 exons.